This 3414-nucleotide long non-coding RNA is filed under the name Fragaria vesca (wild strawberry). Its description in RNAcentral is "long non-coding RNA (FVES_LNC002293)". Lineage: Eukaryota; Viridiplantae; Streptophyta; Magnoliopsida; Rosales; Rosaceae. The record is from RNAcentral.
CACUCUUUCUCGCUAACUUUAUAAUUAUCUAAUUAUGCAACUCUUGCAAAACAUACUCCUAUAUAUAGAAAGUCAUGAACUGUUGAGACCGCCAACCAUAUCCCUUAAUCAGUCUAUUAAGAGCUUCAUCUCCUUCGAUUACUCUCUACACCCAUGGUUUAUUAGCAUCAAUAAGCACCUUUGAACACCCACCUGCUGAUCAUGAACAAGGACCACACCAGCUAAUAGAGACAGAUCUGUUCUUUCACCCUUUGAAGUUUGAAUGCAUCCACAUGCUUAUAUAAAUAAGUAACCCUCAUCUCCUCCUCAGUUGAGGCAUGAAUCUGAAAUGAUAUCUUUUAGAAUGUGCUGUUUUUCUCUCUCAGCCGCCUCCUUCUUUCAUAGUUCUUCUUCGUGCUCAUCCUCUCCAAUCUCCAUCUUCUUCUACUACUGGUUUUGGAUUUGAAAUCCAAAAUCCCCACUUCCCAAAACUUCAAGAAACCAAUAAGCUAGUCAGAACCUUCAGCUGUUUCUCAACAGAACACCAAUAGGGUCCUGUAAAUUUCAAAUCUUUACGUGGAAAUCUGGAAAAACCGGGACGGAUCUGCAUUUUCUCUCUCGUUUUCUGCAUGCAAGUAGGUGUGAUUUAUGACUGAAAACCCGGGCAUAAGAUUAAGUUAGGAUCACAAGUUAAGUUAAGAAUGAGGGUUCUGUGUUCAUGGUAUGGAACUGCUUCAGGCGCUGCAUUCACUGCUCUUUAUCUCUCCAACCAAGCAGGACCUCAAAAGUUCACCUAUGCAGUCACUUCUAUUUAUCAACUCCACUUGCAAUUCAUGAAGGUACAGUUAUAGUCUGUUUGACUAUUAUUAUUUUUCUAUCUUUGUUUCAUUCUAGUUUAAUUUGUUUGAUUUUUAACCUCGAAUUAUAAAUGUGCUUCAACUCUAGGGCUUGAUGUUGACCAGCUGGAUGACAUGAGAACAAGAGGUAAAUUCAGAUGUAACCUUAAUGUGUCAUGAUAGUUCCAGUUUGCGAAUGAGAUCUUGCAUGUGUUAUAAUAUCCAGACCAAAAUAAAUAAAAUAAUAAUGAAAGGUUUCAUGAGUUACAUGAGUUACACAAACGUUACAUGAGUUACACAAAGAACAUGGAUGGUUUUAGAGUUAUAGUCAAGGCAUGAGUUACAGGAAAAUUCAUGAAGUACCAUUUAUUGGGAGAGCACUAAUGAGAGGUCUAGAUGAUUCCUCCUUAGCCUAUAAAAGGAGAGUCGUUUGCUCAUUCCAUGCAUCUCAUCCAUCUCAAACAUCCAUCUUCCAAAUAGAUAAGAGUGUCCACUCCAAGUUGAGAGUGUAAAGUAGUUGGUAGCAAAACAAGUGUGAGAGAGGGUUUCUUUCAAGUAGUGUUCUUAAAGUUGUGUAUCUCGUGUACCCAUUAUUUCAUAGUGGAAGUUCUUGUUAUUGCUGCCCCGUGGACGUAGGCACAUUGCCGAACCACGUUAUAUCUGAUGUUCUCUUUCCUCUAUCUUUUACAUCUUUGCAUAUUUAUCAUUUGUGUGGUUUGAGUUGUUACUUCCAUUAUAUUAUUUUUCUCAACAGCAUGUCUGUAAAUGUCUGUUUGAGUUAGGGACUUCUGUUGAGUUAGGGACUUCUCUGUAUGUUAACUUCACUUAUUAGUGGAAAACUAACAGUUCUAGGUCGAAGUUUUAUCCUUUUGAGGAUUAGGGAUCGCUACGUACCUUGGCAAGACACCCUACUUUGUCAAGUAUAUAUAGAAUGCAUGGUUUUUCAUCUUUCCAUAAGCUAUAGGAUCGCUACCUUCACAUUGUUUUGAGUAAACUCGUUUCUAGUGGUCAACGCUUUCCCAUAAAGAGUUGCUCAACUUGGUUAACUUUAUCAUUCCAUUGUUCCUUGCAAUUGCCACCAGGUUGGCAGCAUAACGAUUCAUGUCAGCAAUGUCAACAGUCAUUCAUUUUCUUUUUUCCGGCAAGAACAGCAUCAUCACCGGUGAUUAUCCUCAAAAGAGGAAAAUCACACUAUGUAGUAUAGCCUUAGGAACAAGAACCAGUAGAAUAUUUCAUUGUAACUACUGUUGAUAUCGGUACUUUUUUUUUUUGAUCAAAUGAAAUAUCAUUCAUACAGAAGAUGUUACAAGCGGUAUGAAUAAUACAAGCAAGGCCGCUAACGGACCACUUAUAACAAAUCUCAAACCGAAAGGCCCGAAAAAUUACUUCCUAAAAGAGCUACCAAAUCCCUAGUACACCAUGAGACAAGAAAAUGAUCAUCAAGCUAGACCAGAAGACUCGUUCGACAAACUGCCAACAUAGUUGGUAAGAAAGCGUCGGCAUCCCCAAUGGGUAGCGGCUCUAACCCCAUGUAGGACAACAACUUGAGUCAACUCUGCCUCCUGAUUAGUGAAUACAAGUGAUAAUUACGGGUGUAAACCAUCAUCACUAUAUCAGCGGUGCAUUGUAAUCAGCCCAAGCACGACCAUAAAGGAUCAAAAUUAUUCAAACACAGCUAAACAAAACAAGCAAAUAAACAAGAGAUGCAGAAAACCUCAUGGGUCAACGAGACUAGACCCAAAGCUGGAAAGGCCCAAAAGCCCCAUCCGAGGCCCAGUCCAAGCCAGCCUUAGCCCAAACCCAAGAGCACCCCAACUUCUCUGCUACCAUCAGUAACCCCUAAAGCCGCCCCUUAGCACCUCCGCCAUACUAUCGUCAGUUGAUAACCGAGGCCAGCACCCACCGGCCUACCUCGUUGCCGCCGUCAAAGCAUCAUUUUUUAGAUCCGCAGCCCACCUCACCUUACUUCAAACCAACCCCUGGGACAUUUCACCAAAUACACUGAUGAGGAUCUGAUUUGACAUCUGAUCACCAUAGAUCCUUACCACAAUCAGCUACAUGCGCCCAGACUAGCCCGAUCUGAACAAGAGGACACCAGAUUGGGGCACACAACUCCCAACAUCUACCUCUCCACCAACACUGCACCCAGAUCUCCCUUCCUUCCCGGCCGAAACGGAUCUGCAACUGACACUUCCACUUACCUCUUAGCCAAACCAGACACCAACCCAAGAUGGUAGAUUGAGGCUAGGGCAGACAAAAGCAUCUGCACCCCAUCCGAACCCUCUCCCAGCCGAGACACAGAGGCAGGAACGCCGGUAGCGUUCGACUAGGAGAGGAGCAGCUCUCUCUGGCUUUUUCUUUUUUCUGGGUGCGUUCUAGGCUCAUGGAAGAAAAAACUCAAUUAUCUCCCUUUUGAGGCACUUGAUAUCGGUACUAAUUUGUUUUAACUACUUAAUAUCCUAGUGACUAACAUUACCUUAUCGUUCAUUUAGUUAUGUUCCUAAUUACUACACAUUAUUGUUUUAAUCAUUCAGAUCUUUAACGUCUCAAACAAAGCAGAGAUUCCAUCUAGUGGUAAGAGGAAGAAGAAGAAAGGAAC